UCUGUCUUAUAGUAAUAUUUUGAAAUUAAUUUUUUAGUUAAAAAGCUAAAAUUGACCUUAAAGACAAGAAGACCCUAUUAAGCUUCACAAUUUUAUAUUAUUUUCAAACUAAUAAAAUAAUUGUUCUGCUGGGGCAGCAAAUAAAUAAAUAUUAUCUACAUAUUGUGAUAAAUCGAUCUAGAAAAAUCAAUAAUUUAUUAAAUAAUAAUAAGUUACUAUAGGGAUAACAGCAUAAUUUUUUUAAAGAGUUCUCAUCAACAAAAAAGUUUGUGACCUCGAUGUUGGAUU
This 288-nucleotide ribosomal RNA is filed under the name Paruroctonus boreus. Its description in RNAcentral is "partial 16S ribosomal RNA". The record is from RNAcentral. Lineage: Eukaryota; Metazoa; Arthropoda; Arachnida; Scorpiones; Vaejovidae.